UACGUAGGCAGCAAGCGUUGUUCGGAAUUACUGGGCGUAAAGAGUGUGUAGGCGGUGCUCUAAGUCUGUUGUGAAAUCUCCCGGCUUAACUGGGAGGGUGCGGCGGAGACUGGAGUGCUAGAGUGUGGGAGAGGUAAGCGGAAUUCCUGGUGUAGCGGUGAAAUGCGCAGAUAUCAGGAGGAACACCGGUGGCGAAGGCGGGUCUCUGGGCCGAUACUGACGCUGAGGAGCGAAAGCGUGGGGAGCAAACAGG
This 253-nucleotide ribosomal RNA is filed under the name uncultured bacterium. RNAcentral's name for it is "partial 16S ribosomal RNA". It matches the Rfam family "Bacterial small subunit ribosomal RNA", at positions 524 to 776 of the family's 1533-position model. The record is from RNAcentral.